Molecule: ribosomal RNA, 916 nt
Filed under: uncultured archaeon
Lineage: Archaea
Description: bacterial SSU rRNA
Rfam family: Archaeal small subunit ribosomal RNA
Source: RNAcentral
UUCCGGUUGAUCCUGCCGGAGGCCAUUGCUAUCAGGGUUUGACUAAGCCAUGCGAGUCGAGAGGUGUAAGACCUCGGCAUACUGCUCAGUAACACGUGGUUAACCUGCCCUUAGGACGGGGAUAAACCCGGGAAACUGGGUAUAAUACCCGAUAGGUCUCGAUUGCUGGAAUGCAUCGAGAUUUAAAGCUCCGGCGCCUAAGGAUGGGUCUGCGGCCUAUCAGGUAGUAGUGGGUGUAGCGUACCUACUAGCCUACGACGGGUACGGGUUGUGAGAGCAAGAGCCCGGAGAUGGAUUCUGAGACACGAAUCCAGGCCCUACGGGGUGCAGCAGGCGCGAAAACUUUACAAUGCUGGCAACAGCGAUAAGGGAACCUCGAGUGCCAGGUUACAAAUCUGGCUGUCGAGAUGCCUAAAAAGCAUUUCAUAGCAAGGGCCGGGCAAGACCGGUGCCAGCCGCCGCGGUAACACCGGCGGCUCGAGUGGUAACCGUUAUUAUUGGGUCUAAAGGGUCUGUAGCCGGCCGGAUAAGUCUCUUGAGAAAUCUGGCAGCUUAACUGUCAGGCUUUCAGGAGAUACUGUCUGGCUCGAGGCCGGGAGAGGUGAGAGGUACUUCAGGGGUAGGGGUGAAAUCUUGUAAUCCUUGAAGGACCACCAGUGGCGAAGGCGUCUCACCAGAACGGACCUGACGGCAAGGGACGGAAGCUAGGGGCACGAACCGGAUUAGAUACCCGGGUAGUCCUAGCCGUAAACGAUACUCGCUAGGUGUCGGCCACGGUGCGACCGUUGUCGGUGCCGUAGGGAAGCCGUGAAGCGAGCCACCUGGGAAGUACGGCCGCAAGGCUGAAACUUAAAGGAAUUGGCGGGGGAGCACCACAACGGGUGGAGCUUGCGGUUUAAUUGGAUUCAACGCCGGA